RNAcentral lists this long non-coding RNA (333 nucleotides) under Elaeis guineensis (African oil palm). RNAcentral describes it as "long non-coding RNA (EGUI_LNC033875)". Lineage: Eukaryota; Viridiplantae; Streptophyta; Magnoliopsida; Arecales; Arecaceae. The record is from RNAcentral.
GGAGAGGCCCUUGCAACGACCCUUAUGUGCCCCCACAGCCCCGUUGGGAACAGGAGGAGAACCUCAUCCUAACCUAAGCUGAGAUCGACUACGUCAGGAACAGAAGGAGAACCUCAUCCUGACGGUGACAAAAACCCGACUGCCCAACAAGACCGGAUGAAGGGGAAAGGCCCCUCAGUGGUACCUCUACACUUCUACGCAACCCCACAGAAAGCAAGGGGAGGACCCUCACUCCGAAAAGAGGAGGGAAAUUAAAAAGGAAAGCGAUGAAUUACAUCAACAAUAGAUGAAAAACAAACUAUAUCAAAAACAUAGGAAAAUUCGUCUCCACAA